GUGGGGUGUGGCCGAGGGCGUACCCUUCGGUGGGCGUGACCGGGAUCGCUUCACUCCUUGUCCGUUUCUCGGCUUGCGGACUGGGACGUGGCUGCCCUCGGGUCCCGGCCUUGGCCGUGCGCUGCGGCUGGGACCCUUGGCUCCUCCUGCUCGCGGCCGGGCGGGGCGCAGCCUCAUCUUUCGGGGCGGGGUCUCAGCGUCCAGAUCUGCAUCCGCAGCCCGGCCCAGAUGGGUGCCUCCCCUCGCUGGCUGCGUGUAGUCCCUCUGCGCGGCUCGCGGCUUCGGAACCGAGGGGAUCGCGGGCGGGGCGGGGUCCAGAAUCCACCGGGAAGGCGUCUGCAGGUUCGCAGAGAAGCGGAGCACUCUUAAGGCACUGGAGCAGAAGAACACGUUGUGAGCCCGGGCACGUGCAAGGAAGCGUUCGUCCCUGCCGAAAUAGCUCAGUUGGGAGAGCGUCAGACUGAAGAUUAAAAGGUCCUAGGUUCGGUCCCAGGUCUCGGCAGGUUGCCGGUGCCCCGCAGCGACAGACGCGAAGCCGGCCCCCAACAUGGGUCUUUCCCCGGAUUCACAGGCGGCCAGGGCCUUAGCCCUGGCUUCUCCUGAGCUCCGUGGUUUAAUACUUGCGGACGCGAAGCAGCACAUCCUGACAACAGGCCACGGGGCAUUGGUUUUUUGAACAGAAAAGUACUGCAUGUCAGUUCAUAGGGAAAACUGAUACAAAGCAAUCUGCAAAGCCGGCUGCGUCUCGCCCCAUCUCUGAACUCCCAGCCUGGGCCCAGCCGGGUUUCCCCCAACACCCGGGGCUCGCUCGGGACUCCGGAAAAGCGAGUGUGGAUUUUAAAAUAGGCUUCGCCCAAACAGGGACUCGAACCCUGGACUCUCAGAUUAAAAGUUUGAUGCUCUAUCGACUGAGCUCCCCGGGCCCUGCGGGCCGGUACCGCCCUCCGCCUGUCUGGCAAAGGCGCCACGGAAGGGCUGUGAUCCUGCGAGGCGAGGGGCCGGAUCCACCGCGACCCCCCGGCCCCCGGGUUCUUAAGCGCUUUGCCCCGCCUUCUCCGGAGGCAGGCGGGACACGCUAUCUGUCAGGUUAUCCCGCGCUUUGGGAUUCCCCGGUUCCACUCAGAUCGGAGCUUCUCAGGCUGGGAUUUCUGAGCGUUCAGCGGAGAAACGUGCAAAGCACCCACGUCCUCAGUGCUGCAAGGUUCUGGAGGAAGCGGUAGAUGUUGGAAAAUCACAGCAAACGCGCUGCGUCCUCCCCCCUCCUCCCGGCCUUGCAGCCGCGUUCGGGCCGUCCCGUCUCCCCGGAGGUACCUGAGGACCGAGCCCGGUGGUCCCGGCGCCGCCUUGGUUCCUCCGCGCCGGCCCGCGGGGCCACCCGAAGCCUCUCGCAGCGCCGGCCCCUCCUCAGUCCUCCCGCGCGUCCGCCCGCAGGCCGGCCGGCUCCUCCUCCCGCCCCUCGGCCUUUGCGCGGCGGCGCAGCAACAUCGGUGGAGAGGAUCGGGUCUGCUUUCGGUGGACGCUGCCUUCGCUCCUUCCCAGCCGUGGAUUCUCAAGUCGUCCCGCAUUCUCUGCUCUGGCGAAAAGGAACUGUCUGGGGUUCAGAUUCAGACCCAGAUCCCGGCGUCUGCGCACCUAAAGUCCCAACAGGGAACGCCGAAGGGCGAACACAGAGCCGCCAGAAGUGGGGUUCGAACCCGCGCACCCCAGAGACCACGGAGCCCUAAGUCCGACGCUCUAACCAUUCGGCCACCCCGGCACCCUGCCGGAUGGCGUUUUCCUUCCGGGCGACUCGGGCAACACGGACUGAAGUUUCCGAACAGCUCGGGAUGGAUUCGGAUCGCGAGCGUUGCAUGGAAACAGAACGAGCAAAGCCACGCUCAGCCCGCGUCUCCUCGAUCGCAUCUCGUGGAUCUCUGGGUUCAGUACCCAGAAACCGGAGCCCCGGGAAAGCGAUGGAGGAGCCUCGGGAGGGGGCCCGACGCGCCGGAGCGACCGCCUUUGUCCCCAACCAGGGCGCGGCCGAGUGCGGAUUAAAGGCUUCUGUCACUUUAAUUUUCUUUAUCCGACUUCAUCAAAACAAAGCGACUCUGGUGGGACUCGAACCCACAACCUUUGAAUGUCUUUGUUUGUCUAGAAGUCCAAUGCGCUAUCCAUUGCGCCACAGAGCCAGAUGCUUGGAGGUUGCCCCGAGCCGCCUACAGCUCCGUGGCGGGCGCGCGUUCUCGCCCCGGGAGCCGCGCCGGGCGGGCGAGGAGCAGGAGCAUGAGCGGCAGCGGCGGGGGAAGCCGGGCACGGGCGGCUCGGUCCCGGCGGGCGCAGGCCGAGGGCUGCGCGCGGGGUUGAUUACGCCCGGAGGCGGCCGGCCACCGCGCGGUUCCAUAGUGUAGCGGUUAUCACGUCUGCUUUACACGCAGAAGGUCCUGGGUUCGAGCCCCAGUGGAACCACGGGCGGCCCCGCUGGUAUUUUGAGGGUGCUCGGGGCUCCUUUGCGAGCUAGGGGUGCUGGGUUUUGUCCUGGAUAUGGAGGUGCAGCCGGGUGCUCUGCCCGAGGCGUCCGCCUGCGAUUGCACCCCGCGUCCGACCCGCGCAGGGCGUCACCGGGCGCCCGUUAAAUGACCAGAUUCCGGUCCACUUUCCGCGCGCGGUUCCAUAGUGUAGCGGUUAUCACGUCUGCUUUACACGCAGAAGGUCCUGGGUUCGAGCCCCAGUGGAACCAGGGCGUGGGCUUUGUCCCUUUUAGGGAAAAAUCACCCAUUUAGGGCGAAAGUUAGCUUUUGCGAGCCAGAGUUCGCCACGUCCAGCUGGAGACGCGCGAGUCGUCCUCUCCGCUGCCUCGGCGCUCGCAGCCGGCCUGUACCGGCCCGGUUCUCGGGGCGCUCGGGCCUCCCGUGGCUCACGGCUGCCCCCGCGUGGCGGCUCCGCGGAGGUGCAGCCGGGCCCCUGCGCCUGCGCAGUUCGGCGGCCAGCCUUCCCGCGGUGCUCGCUCGCGUCCCCGAUUCCGCGCGGGCCGGCCUGGAAGCCGGAAGUCACGUCCGCGGCCUCGCUUUCCGACAGCUCGAAGAUUCCGGGGAUCUGGAGAGAAACGGACGCCCGGACAGAAGCCUGCAACUCUGAAGGACCGAACAGCGCCGCCUUGAGGCACGAGCGGGAAAUGAACUUCCGUUGUGUCCGCCGCCCGUAUUUGACGUUUCUACUGCAGAGGCCGGCACCCUGUGAUCAGCAGGGGAAAGUCCUUAAAGACAGCACUUCGCCAAGCAGUACCCUGCGUUUAACUCACGGAGACACUCAGGAGAACCCCUCCCUCGCCCUGACUCAGAUGCGUGUGGAUCGCUUGGACGACUUUUCCAGUGGAGGUUUUGCCACUUCCCAGCUGGCCAUGGGAAUCACUCCGUGAUACCACAGGCUAUGGGGACAGAUGUGCGGGUCACAGAAGGUGGCCUCGUGUCACUUCCAACACUCACAACUGCAGUUCACCCGCGACAUGGUAACAAUAAGAGCUCCCUCGUGCACAGGGUGCUCCUAAGGAGGAGGCAAGGUUGGAUGUCUGCUCUGGAAACUAAGGACAAUGCAGGAGCCUGACUUUCCCCGUGGCUGCCCAGCCCACCUGGCCCAGGUGUGCGUCUCCCUCGACCCCAGGUCCUCCGGGCCUUGACCAAGUGUGGCUGCAGUCGCUACUGAUGCUGCUGUUUGUGUCCCUUUUCCCAACCCUUCUCCCUGGGAAGCUUUUCUUUUUUGCUCAAAGACUUCAGCUAAUUCAUAUGUCUAAAAAUUCAGAAUCUUUGUACUCACA
Long non-coding RNA from Heterocephalus glaber (naked mole-rat), 3790 nucleotides. Lineage: Eukaryota; Metazoa; Chordata; Mammalia; Rodentia; Bathyergidae. The record is from Ensembl.